CCCCUAGAUGUUCUGGGCCGCACGCGCGCUACACUGAACAGUUCAACAAGUCUUAACCUUGGCCGAUAGGUCUGGGUAAUCUUUGAACGCUGUUCGUGAUUGGGAUAGACCUUUGCAAUUAUGGGUCUUCAACGAGGAAUUCCUAGUAAACGCAAGUCAUCAGCUUGCAUUGAUUACGUCCCUGCCCUUUGUACACACCGCCCGUCGCACCUACCGAUUGAAUGGUCCGGUGAAAUCUCGGGACGGCGGCUUGGUCGCUUGCGUCCGACUGCUGAAACUUUAUUAAACCAUAUCAUUUAGAGGAAGGUGAANUCGUAACA
Molecule: ribosomal RNA, 320 nt
Filed under: uncultured eukaryote
Lineage: Eukaryota
Description: partial 18S ribosomal RNA
Rfam family: Eukaryotic small subunit ribosomal RNA
Source: RNAcentral